This 29-nucleotide non-coding RNA is filed under the name Rattus norvegicus (Norway rat). Lineage: Eukaryota; Metazoa; Chordata; Mammalia; Rodentia; Muridae. The record is from RNAcentral.
UUCACUGAAAGUUUUAUUAUCCUCGUGGA